UCAAAUUUUACAACGACUCUCGGCAACGGAUAUCUUGGCUCUCGCAUCGAUGAAGAACGUAGCAAAAUGCGAUAGCUGGUGUGAAUUGCAGAAUCCCGUGAACCAUCGAGUUUUUGAACGCAAGUUGCGCCCGAAGCCGUCAGGCCAAGGGCACGCCUGUCUG
RNAcentral lists this ribosomal RNA (163 nucleotides) under Lepuropetalon spathulatum. Its description in RNAcentral is "5.8S ribosomal RNA". It matches the Rfam family "5.8S ribosomal RNA". From Rfam's summary of the family: 5.8S ribosomal RNA (5.8S rRNA) is a component of the large subunit of the eukaryotic ribosome. It is transcribed by RNA polymerase I as part of the 45S precursor that also contains 18S and 28S rRNA. Functionally, it is thought that 5.8S rRNA may be involved in ribosome translocation. Lineage: Eukaryota; Viridiplantae; Streptophyta; Magnoliopsida; Celastrales; Celastraceae. The record is from RNAcentral.